CUCUCUCUCUCUCUUUUUUUUUUUUUUUUUUGAGAGACAGAGUCUCGCUCUGUCGCCCAGGCUGGAGUGCAGUAGCACGAUCUCGGCUCACUGCAACCUCCGCCUCCCAGCUUCAAGCGAUUCCCCUGCCUCAGCCUCCCGAGUAGCUGGGACUAUAGGUGUGUGCCACCAUGCUCGGCUAAUUUUUUGUAUUUUUAGUAGAGAUGGGGUUUCACCGUGUUAGCGAGGAUGGUUUCUAUCUCCUGACCUCGUGAUCUACCUGCCUCGGCCUCCCAAAGUGCUGGGAUUACAGGUGUGAGCCACCUCGCUCGGCCCUGUUGGCCUAUUUUUGAUGAAGGCAUUUGCUUCACCUGUAUUUGAAUACGUGCAUAUAUUUAAAGGAGGAAUUAAUUCCAAUGAGUGUGAAAAUGUAUCAAGAAAAAAGAAAAUGUCAGCGGAAUUUGAAGCCAAUACUAUGGAUUCUCUAGUAGACAUGCCAUUUGCUACUGUAGAUAUUCAGGAUGACUGUGGAAUCACUGAUGAACCUCAAAUAAAUUUGAAGAGAAGUCAAGAAAAUGAAUGGAUCAAGAGUGAUCAAGUAAAGAAGAGGAAAAAAAAGCGAAAAGAUUAUCAACCCAACUAUUUCCUAUCCAUUCCAAUCACCAAUAAAGAGAUUAUAAAAGGAAUUAAGAUCCUGCAAAAUGCAAUAAUACAACAAGAUGAGCGACUGGCCAAAGCAAUGGUCCAGACACAGGUGGCACCUCCAACUUCCUUCAUGGCGCUAAGAUAUGGACGGAGUGAGACAGUACAUUUCAUAGCCAUGAUUGCAGUCAUCACAGAAGCCCAGCUGGUCAUCAUCUUCAGAGGUGCCGCAGAUGUCGCAACAUUUGCACUCGAUAUACUGUCAGCAGUAUGUCUUCACUGCCGCA
RNAcentral lists this small RNA (908 nucleotides) under Pongo abelii (Sumatran orangutan). RNAcentral describes it as "processed transcript". Lineage: Eukaryota; Metazoa; Chordata; Mammalia; Primates; Hominidae. The record is from RNAcentral.